CAACCGCGUAUAUUAAAGUUGCUGCAGUUAAAACUCGUAGUUGGAUUUCUGCUGAGGACGACCGGUCCGCCCUCUGGGUGAGUAUCUGGCUCGGCCUGGGCAUCUUCUUGAAGAACAUAACUGCACUUGACUGUGUGGUGCGGUAUUCAUGACUUUUACGUUGAGGAAAUUAGAGUGUUUCAAGCAUGCAUACGCCUUGAAUACAUUAGCAUGGAAUAAUAAGAUAGGACCGUUGUUCUAUUUUGUUGGUUUCUAGAGCUUAGGUAAUGAUUAAUAGGGAUAGUUGGGGGGCAUUCGUAUUUAACUGUCAGAUGUGAAAUUCUUGGAUUUGUUAAAGAUGGACUACUGCGAAAGCAUUUGCCAAGGAUGUGUUCAUUGAUCAAGAACGAAAGUUAGGGGAUCGAAGACGAUUAGAUACCG
RNAcentral lists this ribosomal RNA (420 nucleotides) under uncultured eukaryote. RNAcentral describes it as "SSU rRNA". It matches the Rfam family "Eukaryotic small subunit ribosomal RNA", at positions 592 to 1017 of the family's 1831-position model. The record is from RNAcentral.